RNAcentral lists this ribosomal RNA (262 nucleotides) under uncultured bacterium. RNAcentral describes it as "partial 16S ribosomal RNA". It matches the Rfam family "Bacterial small subunit ribosomal RNA", at positions 92 to 354 of the family's 1533-position model. The record is from RNAcentral.
UUAGUGGCGGACGGGUGAGUAACGCGUGGAAAACCUGCCGUAUACUGGGGGAUAACACUUAGAAAUAGGUGCUAAUACCGCAUAAGCGCACAGCUUCGCAUGAAGCGGUGUGAAAAACUCUGGUGGUAUACGAUGGUUCCGCGUCUGAUUAGCUAGUUGGUGGGGUAAUGGCCUACCAAGGCAACGAUCAGUAGCCGGCCUGAGAGGGNGAACGGCCACAUUGGGACUGAGACACGGCCCAAACUCCUACGGGAGGCAGCAG